RNAcentral lists this small RNA (295 nucleotides) under Echinops telfairi (small Madagascar hedgehog). Its description in RNAcentral is "7SK RNA (ENSETEG00000024301.1)". It matches the Rfam family "7SK RNA", at positions 1 to 249 of the family's 331-position model. Rfam says of the family: 7SK was discovered as an abundant small nuclear RNA in the mid-70s but a possible function has only recently been suggested. Two independent studies have found that 7SK RNA binds the CDK9/cyclin T complex (known as elongation factor P-TEFb). P-TEFb activates transcription by phosphorylating the C-terminal domain of RNA polymerase II. Lineage: Eukaryota; Metazoa; Chordata; Mammalia; Afrosoricida; Tenrecidae. The record is from RNAcentral.
GGAGGUGAGGGUGAUCUGGCUGCGACAUCUGUCACCCCAGGGUUGAUUAGACUGAUCUGGCUGGCUAGGCAGUGUCCCCUUCCUCCCUCACUGCUCCAUGUGCACCCCCCCGAAGCUGCGUGCUCGGUCGAAGAGGACCACCUUCCCCGAUAGAAGGAGGACCGUCCUUCGGUCAAGGGUAGAAGAGUAGCUGUGCUCCCCUGCUAGACCCUCCAAAGAAGUCUCAAGAAACAGACUGCCACGCCAGUCACCCAGGGAGCAUGCUGGUGGUUUCCAACCGCUGACCCUGAGAUUA